Molecule: non-coding RNA, 190 nt
Organism: Nicotiana tabacum (common tobacco)
Lineage: Eukaryota; Viridiplantae; Streptophyta; Magnoliopsida; Solanales; Solanaceae
Source: RefSeq, a predicted model, not a curated record
AUAGAAAAGAUGGUGCAAGGCUUCUUGAACUGAAUAAGAUAUCUGUAGAAGAUGUAAGGGACCGCCAAGACCAGCUUGCUAAGAUGCGUAGUCUUCUUUUCCGUCAUGAAAUGAAGGCAAAACGAGUCAAGAAGAUAAAAUCGAAAGUGUAUCAUCGUUUGCUGAAGAAAGAUAGAUUGAAACAAGCAGG